CGAGGCAGUAGUUCCCAGAGCAACCAGUG
RNAcentral lists this non-coding RNA (29 nucleotides) under Homo sapiens (human). The record is from RNAcentral. Lineage: Eukaryota; Metazoa; Chordata; Mammalia; Primates; Hominidae.